UAGCAGUGUUGUUUCUGAGGCAUUCUGCCGU
Molecule: non-coding RNA, 31 nt
Filed under: Rattus norvegicus (Norway rat)
Lineage: Eukaryota; Metazoa; Chordata; Mammalia; Rodentia; Muridae
Source: RNAcentral